This 1214-nucleotide ribosomal RNA is filed under the name Ascocoryne turficola. RNAcentral's name for it is "eukaryotic LSU rRNA". It matches the Rfam family "Eukaryotic large subunit ribosomal RNA", at positions 31 to 1412 of the family's 3401-position model. Lineage: Eukaryota; Fungi; Ascomycota; Leotiomycetes; Helotiales; Gelatinodiscaceae. The record is from RNAcentral.
AACUUAAGCAUAUCAAUAAGCGGAGGAAAAGAAACCACAGGGAUUGCCUCAGUAACGGCGAGUGAAGCGGCAACAGCUCAAAUUUGAAAUCUGGCUCUUUCAGGGUCCGAGUUGUAAUUUGUAGAAGAUGCUUCGGGUGCGGUUCCGGUCUAAGUUCCUUGGAACAGGACGUCAUAGAGGGUGAGAAUCCCGUAUGUGACUGGGUCUCCGCGCCCGUGUGAAGCUCUUUCGACGAGUCGAGUUGUUUGGGAAUGCAGCUCUAAAUGGGUGGUAUAUUUCAUCUAAAGCUAAAUAUUGGCCAGAGACCGAUAGCGCACAAGUAGAGUGAUCGAAAGAUGAAAAGCACUUUGGAAAGAGAGUUAAACAGUACGUGAAAUUGUUGAAAGGGAAGCGCUUGCAAUCAGACUUGCGCGCCGUCGAUCAUCCCGGGUUCUCUCGGGUGCACUCGGCGGCGCUCAGGCCAGCAUCGGUUCUAGGGGCGGGAUAAAGGCCUUGGGAAUGUAGCUCCCUUCGGGGAGUGUUAUAGCCCUCGGUGCAAUGCCGCCUCCUGGGACCGAGGACCGCGCUUCGGCUAGGAUGCUGGCGUAAUGGUUGUAAGCGACCCGUCUUGAAACACGGACCAAGGAGUCUAACAUCUAUGCGAGUGUUUGGGUGUCAAACCCAUACGCGUAAUGAAAGUGAACGGAGCUAAGAACCCUUUAGGGCGCAUUAGCGACCGAUCCUGAUGUCUUCGGACGGAUUUGAGUACGAGCAUAGCUGUUGGGACCCGAAAGAUGGUGAACUAUGCCUGAAUAGGGUGAAGCCAGAGGAAACUCUGGUGGAGGCUCGCAGCGGUUCUGACGUGCAAAUCGAUCGUCAAAUUUGGGCAUAGGGGCGAAAGACUAAUCGAACCAUUGACGCUAGGUGGUCAAGAGGGCGCUAUAGCGCCUAGUCCCUCCGGGGGCGACACGAUCCAAUUGCGGGGACGUCCCGCCUAACUGCUACGCUACCGCAGCCGUGCCGAAAGGGCGGUACGCACCGGGUUAACGACCCUGGGGAUGGUAAUAACGCGCAGCUAGGGAUGAUCCGCAGCCAAGUCCUACCGGCGCUCGCGCCCAGGGAUGCAGUUCACAGACUAGAUGGGUCGUGGGCCCGUACAGCGGGCUUAAGUUAUAGUCGGACCGCCGGGAGACCGGGUCGGGGUAUCGCUAGUAGCUGGUUCCUGCCGAAGUUUC